UGGGGAAUUUUGGACAAUGGGGGAAACCCUGAUCCAGCCAUCCCGCGUGUGCGAUGAAGGCCUUCGGGUUGUAAAGCACUUUUGGCAGGAAAGAAACGUCGCGGGUUAAUACCCCGCGAAACUGACGGUACCUGCAGAAUAAGCACCGGCUAACUACGUGCCAGCAGCCGCGGUAAUACGUAGGGUGCAAGCGUUAAUCGGAAUUACUGGGCGUAAAGCGUGCGCAGGCGGUUCGGAAAGAAAGAUGUGAAAUCCCAGAGCUUAACUUUGGAACUGCAUUUUUUAACUACCGGGCUAGAGUGUGUCAGAGGGAGGUGGAAUUCCGCGUGUAGCAGUGAAAUGCGUAGAUAUGCGGAGGAACACCGAUGGCGAAGGCAGCCUCCUGGGAUAACACUGACGCUCAUGCACGAAAGGUGGGGAGCAAACAGGAUUAGAUACCCUGGUAGUCCACGCCCUAAAACGAUGUCAACUAGCUGUUGGGGGCCUUCGGGCCUUUGGUGCGCAGCUAACGCGUGAAGUUGACCGCCUGGGGAGUACGGUCGGCAAGAUUAAAACUC
This 557-nucleotide ribosomal RNA is filed under the name uncultured bacterium. Its description in RNAcentral is "partial 16S ribosomal RNA". It matches the Rfam family "Bacterial small subunit ribosomal RNA", at positions 355 to 902 of the family's 1533-position model. The record is from RNAcentral.